Molecule: long non-coding RNA, 3225 nt
Filed under: Homo sapiens (human)
Lineage: Eukaryota; Metazoa; Chordata; Mammalia; Primates; Hominidae
Description: HSALNT0126356
Source: RNAcentral
UACAAAAAUUAGCUGGGUGUGGUUGUGGGCACCUGUAGCUACUCAGGAAGCUGAGGCAGGAGAACAACUUGAACCCAGGAGGUGGAGGUUGCAGUGAGCCAUUGCACUCCAGCCUGGGCAACAACAGUGAAACUCUGUCUCAAAAAAAAAAAAAAGUGACAAUGAUCAUUCCUGGUGUUAACAACAGACGUCCUUUUUUGGGGGGGUGGGGGACAGAAUCUCCCGUUGCCCAGGCUGGGUGGCUUAACAACACACAUUUCUCUCUCACAAUUCCAAGAUUGAGGAACCAGCAGAUUGGUGUCUGGUGAGGGCCCACUUCCUGGUUUGUGGAUGGCUGUCUUCUCCCUGUAUCCUCACAUGAUGGGGAGUGAUAUAGUUUGGCUCUGUGUCCCCCGCUUAAAUCUCAUGUCGAGACCAGGUGCAGUGGCUCACACCUGUAAUCCCAGCACUUUGGGAGGCCGAGGUGGGCGGAUCACCUGAGGCCAGGACUUUGAGAUUAGCCUGGACCACAUGGUGAAACCCUGUCUCCACUAAAAAUACAAAAUUAGCCGCGUGUAGUGGUGGGCGCCUGUAAUCCCAGUUACUUAGGAGGCUGAGGCAGGAGAAUCGCUUGAACCUGGGAGGCAGAAGUUGCAGUGAGCCCAGAUGGCGCCACUACACUCCAGCCUGGGUGACAGAGUGAAACUGUGUCUCAAAAAAAAACAAAAAAAGAAAAAAAAAGAGGUUUCAUGUCAAAUUGUAAUCCCCAGUGUUGGAGGUGGGGCCUGGUAGGAGGUGAUUAAAUCAUGGGGUGGAUUUCUCAUGAAUGGGCUGGCACCAUCCCCUCCAUGCUGUUUUCAUGGUAGGUUAUCAUGAGCUCUGCUUGUUUAAAAGUGAGUAGCACCUCCCCACCUCUCUCUCAUCCUCUUGCUCUGACCAUGUGAGAUGUGCAUGCUUCCCCUUUACCUUCCACCAUGAUUGUAAGUUUCCUGAGACCUCCCCAGAAGCUAAGCAGAUGUCAGAAUCAUGAGUCCUGUACAGCCUGUGGAACGUGAGCCAAUUAAAACUCUUUUCUUGGCUGGGUGUGGUGGCUCACACCUGUAAUCCCAGCAUUUUGGGAGGCCAAGGUGGGUGGAUCACCUGAGGUCAUGAGUUCGAGACCAGCCUGGGCAACAUGGUGAAACCCCCGUCUCUACUAAAAAUACAAAAAUUUGCUGGACGUGGUGGCAGAUGCCUGUAAUCCAGCUACUCAGGAGGCUGAGGCAGGAGAAUGGCUUGAACCCAGGAGGUGGAGGUGGCAGUGAGCCAAGAUCGUGCCAUUGCACUCUUGCCUGGGUGACGACAGUGAAACUCCAUCUCCAAGAACAAAACAAAACACCCCUCUUUUCUUUAUAAAUUACCCAGUCUCAGGUUUUUCUUUAUAGCAGUGCCAGAAUGGACCAAGACAGGGAGAGAGGAAGCAAGCUCUGUGAUGACUCUUCUCGAAAGGCUGCUAAUCCCAUCAAGUGAAUUCCACCCUUAUAACCUCAUCUCAACGUGAUCACCUCCCAAACUUCUUGCCUCCAAAUACCAUCACAUUGGGAGUUAGGAGUUUGACAUAUGAAUUUUGGAGAGUCCACAAACAUUCUGCCUGUAACACUAGAAAUGAAAUUUUGAUUUCAUUUUAUCUAUUUGUUUGAGACAGAGUCUUGCUGUUGCCCAGGCUGCCAGUGCAGUGGCGUGAUCUCGGCUCACUGCAACCUCCACCUCCCAGGUUCAAAUGAUUCUCCUGACUCAGCCUCCUGAAUAGUUGGGACUAUAGGCACCCACCACCAUGCCUGGCUAAUGUUUUUUGUAUUUUUAGUAGAGACAAGGUUUCACCAUGUUGGCCAGCCUGGUCUUGAACUCCUGACCUCAAGUGAUCCUCCCACCUCGGCCUCCCAAAGUGCUGGGAUUACAGGGUGAGCCAGCGAACUUGGCCUUCCUUUAAUUUUAAUCAAUUUAAAUGUAAAGAGCUGCAUGUAGCUAGGAGCUACUGAAUUGGACAGCACAGCCUUAAGGAGAGUGGAAAUCAGCUGAAUCCAGUUGAAACAGGAGUUAAAUCAGUUGGAGCCAGCCAACAUUGGAUGACCUUGGCUGAAACCACCUGAAACUGGUUGAAAGGAGCCACAAACUGUUCACAACCAGCUGAAGCUGAAUUAACCUGGCUGAAACUGGAUGAAGUCAUUUGAAACCAGCUGAAACUGGAUCAAACCAGCUGGCAGUGGUUGAAACCAGAUGAAAUCAUUUAAGUAGGGUUUGUCAUAUUAUUUUGCUUCUUGAUGAACUAGUCCUGGGUUUUUUUUGUUUGUUUGUUUUUUGUUUUUUUUUUGAGAGAGAGUCUUGCUGUGUCGCUCAGGCUGGAGUGCAGUGGUGAGAUUUCAGCUCACUGCAACCUUCUCCUCCAGGAUUAAAGUGAUCUUCCUGCCUCAGCCUCCUGAGUAGCUGGGAUUACAGGAGUGCACCACCACUCCCGACUAAUUUUUUUAUUUUUAGUAGAGACAGGGUUUCAUCAUGCUGGCCAGGUUGGUCUCAAGCUCCUGACCUCAGGUGAUCCACCAUCUUGGCCUCCCAAAGUUCUGGUAUUACAGGCAUGAGCCCUGGUGCCCAGCAGCAUAAACAUUUAGUUUUAUUCUAACAAGGUAGCUUGUACAUUUUAAGAUAUAAAACUGAACAUCUUUUUUCCUCUCCAGAGAAACAUAAGGAAAACCAAGGAACUUUUUACAACAAACAUUUUUAAACAUUUACAAAAGUAGACAGAAGAGUACAGUGAACCCCUGUGGACCCACUGCCCAGCUUAAAUAGCAAUCAGGAUUUUGCCAAUGUGCUCCAAACUAUCCUCCCCUUCCCCUCUUUUUCUUGGCUGGGAUGUUUUAAAGCAAAUCCUAGAUAUGUAGUAAAAAGAAAAUGUAAAAGUAAAACAGAACAAAAAUUACAAUGCAGAAUACCAUUUCCAAAUAAGAUCUGGCCAGGCGCGGUGGCUCACGCCUGUAAUCCCAGCACUUUGGGAGGCUGAGGCGGGCAGAUCACAUGAGGUCAGGAGUUCAAGACCAGCCUGGCCAACACGGCGAAAUGCCGUCUCUAUUAAAAAUACAAAAAUUAGGCCAGGCGCGGUGGCUCACACCUGUAAUCCCAGCACUUUGGGAGGCCAAGGCGGGCGGAUCAUGAGGUCAGGAGAUUGAGACCAUCUUGGCUAACAUGGUGAAACCCCAUCUCUACUAAAAAUAC